UACAGAGGUGGCAAGCGUUGUUCGGAAUUACUGGGCGUAAAGGGCGCGUAGGCGGCCUUCUUAGUCAGACGUGAAAUCCCCCGGCUUAACCUGGGAACUGCGUCUGAUACUGGAAGGCUGGAGUUCGGGAGAGGGAUGUGGAAUUCCAGGUGUAGCGGUGAAAUGCGUAGAUAUCUGGAGGAACACCGGUGGCGAAGGCGGCAUCCUGGACCGAAACUGACGCUGAUGCGCGAAAGCCAGGGGAGCAAACGGGAUUAGAAAC
Molecule: ribosomal RNA, 262 nt
Filed under: uncultured bacterium
Lineage: Bacteria
Description: partial 16S ribosomal RNA
Rfam family: Bacterial small subunit ribosomal RNA
Source: RNAcentral